RNAcentral lists this ribosomal RNA (765 nucleotides) under uncultured Burkholderiales bacterium. Its description in RNAcentral is "SSU rRNA". It matches the Rfam family "Bacterial small subunit ribosomal RNA", at positions 77 to 839 of the family's 1533-position model. The record is from RNAcentral. Lineage: Bacteria; Pseudomonadati; Pseudomonadota; Betaproteobacteria; Burkholderiales.
ACUUCGGUCUGGUGGCGAGUGGCGAACGGGUGAGUAAUAUAUCGGAACAUACCCAGUAGUGGGGGAUAACUAUCCGAAAGGAUAGCUAAUACCGCAUACGAUCUGUGGAUGAAAGCAGGGGAUCUUCGGACCUUGUGCUAUUGGAAUGGCCGAUAUCUGAUUAGCUAGUUGGUAGGGUAAAAGCCUACCAAGGCGACGAUCAGUAGCUGGUCUGAGAGGACGACCAGCCACACUGGAACUGAGACACGGUCCAGACUCCUACGGGAGGCAGCAGUGGGGAAUUUUGGACAAUGGGGGCAACCCUGAUCCAGCAAUGCCGCGUGAGUGAAGAAGGCCCUCGGGUUGUAAAGCUCUUUUGUCAGGGAAGAAACGGAGUUCUCUAAUAUAGGAUUCUAAUGACGGUACCUGAAGAAUAAGCACCGGCUAACUACGUGCCAGCAGCCGCGGUAAUACGUAGGGUGCAAGCGUUAAUCGGAAUUACUGGGCGUAAAGCGUGCGCAGGCGGUUUUGUAAGUCUGAUGUGAAAUCCCCGGGCUCAACCUGGGAACUGCAUUGGAGACUGCAAGGCUAGAGUGUGUCAGAGGGGGGUAGAAUUCCACGUGUAGCAGUGAAAUGCGUAGAGAUGUGGAGGAAUACCGAUGGCGAAGGCAGCCCCCUGGGAUAACACUGACGCUCAUGCACGAAAGCGUGGGGAGCAAACAGGAUUAGAUACCCUGGUAGUCCACGCCCUAAACGAUGUCUACUAGUUGUCGGGACUUAAUUGUC